UUUCUAAAAGGAUUGCCUUAAGGCUGACAAACACCUUUUGCUCAUCAGCUAGGUAGAAAUAAUAUCCUUUGGUCUCUUUUGGGUACCCUAUGAAAUUACACUUAUCAGACCUAGGUCCAAGCUUGUCCGUAAUUAAACGUUUAACAUAAACCGGACACCCCCAAACCCUAAGGUGCGAGAGUAUUGGCUUACGUCCUAUCUAUAUCUCAUAU
RNAcentral lists this long non-coding RNA (212 nucleotides) under Elaeis guineensis (African oil palm). RNAcentral's name for it is "long non-coding RNA (EGUI_LNC060900)". The record is from RNAcentral. Lineage: Eukaryota; Viridiplantae; Streptophyta; Magnoliopsida; Arecales; Arecaceae.